Molecule: ribosomal RNA, 165 nt
Filed under: uncultured bacterium
Lineage: Bacteria
Description: partial 16S ribosomal RNA
Rfam family: Bacterial small subunit ribosomal RNA
Source: RNAcentral
CUAGUAAUCGCGGAUCAGCAUGCCGCGGUGAAUACGUUCCCGGGCCUUGUACACACCGCCCGUCACACCAUGGGAGCCGGUAAUACCCGAAGUCAGUAGUCCAACCACGUGAGGACGCUGCCGAAGGUAGGAUUGGCGACUGGGGUGAAGUCGUAACAAGGUACC